CGUGGCGCAAUUGGAUAGCGCAUCUGAUUCCGAAUCAGAAGGUUGUGGGUUCGAUUCCCGUCGGG
RNAcentral lists this transfer RNA (65 nucleotides) under uncultured Bulleidia sp. It matches the Rfam family "tRNA", at positions 6 to 65 of the family's 71-position model. Rfam says of the family: Transfer RNA (tRNA) molecules are approximately 80 nucleotides in length. Lineage: Bacteria; Bacillati; Bacillota; Erysipelotrichia; Erysipelotrichales; Erysipelotrichaceae. The record is from RNAcentral.